GGAAUUAUUGGGCGUAAAGAGCUCGUAGGCGGUUUGUCGCGUCUGCUGUGAAAGCCCGGGGCUCAACCCCGGGUCUGCAGUGGGUACGGGCAGACUAGAGUGCAGUAGGGGAGACUGGAAUUCCUGGUGUAGCGGUGAAAUGCGCAGAUAUCAGGAGGAACACCGAUGGCGAAGGCAGGUCUCUGGGCUGUUACUGACGCUGAGGAGCGAAAGCAUGGGGAGCGAACAGGAUUAGAUACCCUGGUAGUCCAUGCCGUAAACGUUGGGCACUAGGUGUGGGGGACAUUCCACGUUUUCCGCGCCGUAGCUAACGCAUUAAGUGCCCCGCCUGGGGAGUACGGCCGCAAGGCUAAAACUCAAAGGAAUUGACGGGGGCCCGCACAAGCGGCGGAGCAUGCGGAUUAAUUCGAUGCAACGCGAAGAACCUUACCAAGGCUUGACAUUCACCGGACCGCCCCAGAGAUGGGGUUUCCCUUCGGGGCUGGUGGACAGGUGGUGCAUGGUUGUCGUCAGCUCGUGUCGUGAGAUGUUGGGUUAAGUCCCGCAACGAGCGCAACCCUCGUUCUAUGUUGCCAGCACGUGAUGGUGGGGACUCAUAGGAGACUGCCGGGGUCAACUCGGAGGAAGGUGGGGAUGACGUCAAAUCAUCAUGCCCCUUAUGUCUUGGGCUUCACGCAUGCUACAAUGGCCGGUACAAAGGGUUGCGAUACUGUGAGGUGGAGCUAAUCCCAAAAAGCCGGUCUCAGUUCGGAUUGAGGUCUGCAACUCGACCUCAUGAAGUCGGAGUCGCUAGUAAUCGCAGAUCAGCAACGCUGCGGUGAAUACGUUCCCGGGCCUUGUACACACCGCCCGUCAAGUCACGAAAGUUGGAACACCCGAAGCCGGUGGCCUAACCCCUUGGGGAGGGAGC
This 910-nucleotide ribosomal RNA is filed under the name Kocuria rosea subsp. polaris. RNAcentral describes it as "bacterial SSU rRNA". It matches the Rfam family "Bacterial small subunit ribosomal RNA", at positions 547 to 1453 of the family's 1533-position model. Lineage: Bacteria; Bacillati; Actinomycetota; Actinomycetes; Micrococcales; Micrococcaceae. The record is from RNAcentral.